GGCCUCCCAAAGUGCUGGGAUUACAGGCUUGAGCCACUCGCCCGGCUGAGUUUGACCAGAUUAAGGCAGCAUCUCCAGUGGCACCUGAGCAGCUCCUGAGAUGCUUUUCUGUGCUAAAUCUGGAUUUGGGGUAUUAAAUCAAAUGAAUUUGAAAUGCAGGCACAGCUGGCCCCAUGGGCAUGGACCUGUGCAGUCACACCUUGCCCCGUGUUCAGAAGGGUGCUGUGCCUGUUUUAAUGCUCUGCUGUUGCUCUCUUGAGAUUCUUAAUAAUUUUUGAACAAAGGGCCCCACAUACUCAUUUUGUACUGGGUACUGCAUAUUAUGUAGCUAGUCUUGAAUCUAGGACAGUGCAUUAAAAUGCCAUUGAUUGGAUCAAUCUGCUCUUGCAACUGAUUUGAAUUUUGGGAACAUGCUGUUUCCUGUGAAUAAAGGAGGAUUCAUUUCUUUUCCCUCGAAUACACUGCGUUCUGUUUUCCAAAUUAGCUCUACGUAUCAACUCAGCUGAGAAAUUGGAAGCGGGGAUUGUUCUGGCUGGAAGGGAAGGUUAGAUUGUUAAUCCUGCAUCCUGGCCCUGAUCUCACCGAGUGUGAAGCAUGUUCCCACAAUGGUGUGGGCUGCGGGGGGCUGGAGGCUGGCUGAGAAGGUGGGGACCAAGGAGGGAGGCUAGCCUGGGAGCCAGACAGAUGGGGUUAGGCUCUUGCUUUUGCCACUCGCCAGCUCUGAGGCUUAGGGCAACAUGAUUUAAUUCUCUGAUCCUUGUUUUUUUCAUCUUUCUGUAGACUGGUGAUGAGAUGCACCCUGCAGGCUUGCAGGCUUGCAGGAGUAAUUAAAGUAACAUGACAUAUUGGAGAAUAAUGACUGAAGCUUAUCUACACUGCCUACGUCUGUUUUCUUCCACCUUGAAAGAAGUUGUUGAAAGUAAUUAAGAAGUAUUAUGUGUAAAACUCCAGGGAUGAUGUGCUUCAAGGAAGCAACAUUUAUGAAGUUGUGUGCUUGACUAGUAGUUUAUAAAGAGGAAAGACGAAUCAUUUAUUGUCUUGGGAUUGAAUCUUGGCAAUUUUUAAACUAUAAAGUUACAGGAAAUGUUGGCUGCUCUUAAUGGGCCAUUUGUUGUGUUAAAAAUCAGUAAUGAGAAAUAUUUACUAGGUAAGUGGAAAGAUCCAUCUCUAUAAAUUGUUGUAACUUACCAUUUUACAAAUCUUAGUUACUCAGUUUUUCUGCUUAAAAAUGAAAUCAUGUAGCACUGUAUAAGUCAUUCAGUUUUUUAUUUUGGAGAAUUACUCUGGAUUGUCUAGGCUCUGUGCUCUCCACAUAUAUUUUUGAAAUAGUUUGUGAAUUUCUACAAAAACUCCUGCUCAGAAUUUUCACUGAGAGUAUGCUUAAUCUAUGGGUUAAUUUGUGAGAAAUUGAUAGCUUAACAAUAGUGAAUCUUCUGAUCUACAAGUGUGGUAUUUCUCUCCAUUUAUUUAGGUCUUCUUUAUUUUGAUAGCGUUUUGUAGCUUUCAAUGUACAGAUCUUGCAAAUAUCUUGUUAAAUAUUUCCCUAAUUACUUGAUAUUUAUUUUUGAUGCUGUUAUAGUUAUAUUUUAAAAAUUUUGAUUCCAAUUGUUGCUAAUACAUAGAAAUGAAAUUAUUUAUUGACCUCUUAUCCUGUGACAUUGAUAAACGCAGUCAUAUAUUCGUAGAUUUCUAGAAUUUUUCUAUAUAGACUAUCAUAUAUAUCAUCUGCAAAUAAAGACGGUUUUACAUUUUCCUU
Molecule: long non-coding RNA, 1756 nt
Filed under: Homo sapiens (human)
Lineage: Eukaryota; Metazoa; Chordata; Mammalia; Primates; Hominidae
Description: HSALNT0360404
Source: RNAcentral